AUGGUUCCGUGCACAAAACUGAUUUACCCGCACCUUUCUAGGGCACACCUCCUACAGCACAAGAAACACUGCAAUAAAGCCCACAAGGCCCAAUCACUGACAGCAGCUGAGAGGCCCAUCUGGGAAAUAACUCCGGAACCCCUUCAGACAAACUUGCCGUGGUGGGGUGACCUGGCCAUCACUGAUUCCCUGCCAGCUUGUUUGCAGCCAGGAUUUUUCACAGAUGCUCCCUGA
This 234-nucleotide long non-coding RNA is filed under the name Ovis aries (sheep). Its description in RNAcentral is "lncRNA (ENSOARG00000026965.1)". Lineage: Eukaryota; Metazoa; Chordata; Mammalia; Artiodactyla; Bovidae. The record is from RNAcentral.